Molecule: transfer RNA, 75 nt
Filed under: Ralstonia holmesii
Lineage: Bacteria; Pseudomonadati; Pseudomonadota; Betaproteobacteria; Burkholderiales; Burkholderiaceae
Description: Ralstonia sp. LMG 32967 tRNA-Met
Rfam family: tRNA
About the family: Transfer RNA (tRNA) molecules are approximately 80 nucleotides in length.
Source: RNAcentral
AGCGGGCUAGCUCAGCGGUAGAGCACCGGGCUCAUAACCCGGGGGUCGGCGGUUCGAGUCCGCCGCCCGCAACCA